RNAcentral lists this ribosomal RNA (403 nucleotides) under uncultured bacterium. RNAcentral describes it as "partial 16S ribosomal RNA". It matches the Rfam family "Bacterial small subunit ribosomal RNA", at positions 30 to 526 of the family's 1533-position model. The record is from RNAcentral.
AUUGCACGCUGGCGGCAGGCCUAACACAUGCAAGUCGCGCGAGCGGCGGACGGGUGAGUAAUGUCUGGGGACUGCCCGAUAGAGGGGGAUAACUACUGGAAACGGUAGCUAAUACCGCAUACUAUCGGAUAACCCAUAUGGGAUUAGCUAGUAGGUGAGGUAAUGGCUCACCUAGGGGACGAUCCCUAGCUGGUCUGAGAGGAUGAUCAGCCAAACUGGGACGGAGACACGGCCCAGACUCCUACGGAGGCAGCAGUGGGGAAUAUUGCACAAUGGGCGCAAGCCUGAUGCAGCCAUGCCGCGUGUAUGAAGAAGGCCCUAGGGUUGUAAAGUACUUUCAGUCGGGAGGCGUUACCGACAGAAGAAGCACCGGCUAACUCCGUGCCAGCCGCCGCGGUAAUUC